CAGUAGCCACGGUAAUACGAAGGGUGCAAGCGUUGUUCGGAAUUACUGGGCGUAAAGCGCACGUAGGCGGCUUGGUAAGUUAGAGGUGAAAGCCUGGAGCUCAACUCCAGAAUUGCCUUUAAGACUGCCGAGCUAGCAGGUGAGAGAGGUAAGUGGAAUUCCGAGUGUAGAGGUGAAAUUCGUAGAUAUUCGGAAGAACACCAGUGGCGAAGGCGGCUUACUGGCUCAUACUGGACGCUGUGGUGCGAAAGCGUGGGGAGCAAACAGGAUUAGAUACCCCUGUAGUCCCUGUCUCUUAUAC
Molecule: ribosomal RNA, 301 nt
Filed under: uncultured bacterium
Lineage: Bacteria
Description: partial 16S ribosomal RNA
Rfam family: Bacterial small subunit ribosomal RNA
Source: RNAcentral